AACGAACGCUGGCGGCAUGCCUAACACAUGCAAGUCGAACGAGACCUUCGGGUCUAGUGGCGCACGGGUGCGUAACGCGUGGGAACCUGCCCUUAGGUUCGGAAUAACUCCCCGAAAGGGGUGCUAAUACCGGAUAAUGUCUUCGGACCAAAGAUUUAUCGCCUUUGGAUGGGCCCGCGUUGGAUUAGCUAGUUGGUAGGGUAAAAGCCUACCAAGGCGACGAUCCAUAGCUGGUCUGAGAGGAUGAUCAGCCACACUGGGACUGAGACACGGCCCAGACCCCCUGGGGGGGGAGCAGGGGGGAAUUUGGGAAAGUGGGGGAAAGCCUGAUCCGGCAAUGCCGGGGGAGUGAUGAAGGCCUUAGGGUUGUAAAGCUCUUUUACCCGGGAUGAUAAUGACAGUACCGGGAAAAUAAACCCCGGCUAACCCCGU
Molecule: ribosomal RNA, 432 nt
Filed under: uncultured bacterium
Lineage: Bacteria
Description: partial 16S ribosomal RNA
Rfam family: Bacterial small subunit ribosomal RNA
Source: RNAcentral